RNAcentral lists this long non-coding RNA (325 nucleotides) under Homo sapiens (human). RNAcentral describes it as "HSALNT0097535". The record is from RNAcentral. Lineage: Eukaryota; Metazoa; Chordata; Mammalia; Primates; Hominidae.
CUAAGUCACUGAAGUGUACCCUUUAAGCCAGGGAGGGACAGGGCCACACUUUCAGUGCUAACAAUUGGUGAAGAAUCAGAUGCUUACAGAGGUGAAGUAUCCCGGGUAGGUUUCUCUCUGAGAAUGAAGUCUGCAAUCUGUCACAUCAGAACAGGAAGAGAGGAUUUGAGGGAGAACCCCUUCUCAGAUCUCCAGAGUGUGGAAGGGACGUUUUGGUGCUGGCUAUGGCUUUGUGACACUGCAGUUGAAACGGGCAAAGUGGGCUCCUCACUUGAAGAACUUUGAUGCCUCUAAAUGCUCUGAUGAGAAAAAACUUGUCCUCAAA